UCAUCUUCUUAUCCAAUUGCUCCUUCAAUGCCUAAUAUACUCUUUGAGUCCUUCAAUUCUGAUAUAGGAAACUCACCUAGCUCAACCUUCUCAAAUCAAUUUGAUUGUGAUUCUUUUACCACAUUGAGUGAGAGCCAGGAGCAGUAUAGUUCUACUGAGAAUCCUUCAGGAGCCAGCCCUUCUUGUAACUCUUCACUUGAAUCCAGUAGUUAUUUUCAUCAACUGAGCCCCCCAUUGUUGCACGAUGCAAAUUCUAGCCAGAACAUAAAACAUGCAUUGCUGCGAUUAGAGACUGUUCUGAUGGGGCCUGAUGAUGAUGAAAACAUAACAAUGGCUAAUACUUCUUUGGGGGG
RNAcentral lists this unclassified non-coding RNA (353 nucleotides) under Hevea brasiliensis (rubber tree). Lineage: Eukaryota; Viridiplantae; Streptophyta; Magnoliopsida; Malpighiales; Euphorbiaceae. The record is from RNAcentral.